Molecule: long non-coding RNA, 2372 nt
Organism: Triticum dicoccoides
Lineage: Eukaryota; Viridiplantae; Streptophyta; Magnoliopsida; Poales; Poaceae
Exons: 2
Source: RefSeq, a predicted model, not a curated record
CACUACACACUCCCCCGCCUCCUCUCCGCGGCCGCUUCCCCGCACACCGGAUUCGCCGUCGAGGAGUACCUUGUCGAGGCCUGCGGCCUCACCCGAGCCCAGGCACUCAAGGCCUCGGCGAAGCUCUCCCACCUCAAGUCCCACUCCAAGCCCGACGCCGUCCUCGCCUUCCUCGCGGGCCUCGGCCUCUCCGCCGCCGACAUCGCCGCCGCCGUCGCCAGGGACCCCCACUUGCUCUGCGCCGGCGUGGAAACAACCCUGGCCCCGAACGUCGUCGGGCUCACCGACCUCGGCCUGUCACGCCCUCAGGUCGCGCGCCUCGCCGCACUCGCCGGAAAGUCCUUCCGCAUCAGAUCCAUCGUCUCCAAUCUGCCGUACUGCCGGUCUCUCCUCGGCGGCUCCUACGAGAACCUCCUCCGGGCGCUCAAGCACGACCCCUAUCUCCUCAGACGCAGCCUCGACAAGGUGAUUAAGCCCAAUGCCGCCCUCCUGCGGGAGUGCGGGCUAGAUAAUCGCGGUAUCACCAAGCUGUGCCCCGGUACUAUGUUAUGAGAUUUCUUAAGGAAAAUGGAUUGCUAGACCGUGAACGGGACUACUGGACAAUUGUCAAGAUUAGCGAGAAUCUUUUCCUGGAGAAAUACAUAUGCCCCCACAAGGAAGCUGCUCCGCGCCUUGCUGAAGACUAUGCUGACGCUUGCAAAGGGCAAGUGCCCACUAGAUUCAGAUUUGCAUGAACCAAGAGCGGGCUAUGAGAAUUGGUAACUGCUUGUUGCGCAACAAAGUCUACACUCUAUGCAGUAAGCUGCUCUACCCUGUGAAGCCAGGACAGUCUCACUAUGGGGGUACAGUUACUUGGUUGGUUUCCUCGGAAUCCUUGGUCUCUUUGUUGCCUCUGGAUGUGGCAGGGGAUAAGGCGCUUUGGGCUUCCAUUGGACGAGUGACCCUUCAGCUAUGUGCAUGGGGUUAUCCCUUGGGGAUUUGUAGCAAGGGAAGCAUCAGCUGACUCCCAUCUUUUAAGAAAACAUUUAGUGGGAUCAACAAUAUAUCACUGGAGAUGCGCCUUCAGUUUUCUACCAUGCAUAUCGAGGCAAAUACAGUGAAAAUUUGGAGGUCUGUUUAAAAAAGGUUAAAUGGUGUUAGUUUCUGCCUUUCUGCUAUAAGUAUUAUCACUGAACCUGAUACUUGCAUGAUAAUUUACUUUCACACUAGAACAAUUUUUUACCUACCUCUAUGAGCACUGUUAUGGAAUGGGUUAUUGAAAUCUUUGUGCUACUAAGCUGCUGUCAGUUGAAUUUAGCAGCAGCUAAUGCAUGCAGUUUCUUAUUCUUUUGUUAGAAAAUCCCUCAAAUGCUCGGGGAGCUAUGUUACCUGUCAAUUAUGUGUACAAUUUCAUUGAGUCAACAGUGCAUGCCAUCAAUUCUUUUCUGGAGUUCAUAACCAAUUUGAAACAUAUUUCUCUGUUUUUGGUUCAUAUUUAUUGUUGUAAUGAGCAAUUAGACAUGCAACUUAAAGCCACUAGCUAAUUGAUGGUAAUUUACUCAGACUAAUACUUAGUUUUUCUUUUGUGUUCCGGUAGUUGAGAUGCUAAAUGGGCUCUUCCAUUUUGUACGCUGCAUUCCACCCGGGAAUUGGCCCUCUGUAGUGGUCAAUUGUGAAGUCUGACUCGUAAGGCUUCAUCGCUUAAUUCGAUAACUUGCUGUCUGUUAUCAAAUUUUCCUUGGAGCUUAGUCUGCUGGCAUGAAGGCACAUUUACUUGCUUGGAUUAGUGAUUAGUGUCGACCAUGUCAAGUUAAUCUUAGAUUCAUUUGCUCAUUCCAGGCAAGCACGUUGAGGCAGUUCACAUUCACCUGUCAGUUGUGUAAUUGUGUGUGCGCCUCAUCGCAGUAUUGUUUGCUUAUGUCCCAUGUGUCGGCUCGGGAUCUCGGCUCUAAAAUUCUGCUUAUUUUUUUUUGUCCCAUGAUGUUCCCUUUUCUACUUAAGACGCUCGUUGGUCGUCGUUGGCUUACCCCCUUGUCACAUGGGUCAGUUGGGACCAAAUGUUUUGCACAGGUGAAGCGGCGCUCUACACGCUGCUGAUAGCAGUUGCCAAGGGAGGAGAGGUUGCGGAGAAGGCGACGCAAAAGAUUGACGGAUGGUUCGCCUUCAUCUCCAAUUUCAUGGAGGUUGUGCUCAAGAUAGCCUUCUCGAAGCCUGCUGCUUUAUCAGUUAAUGAAUAGAGCUGGGUUAUCCGGUUAUGCCAAGUUCCUGCCUUCUUCUGUACUCUGAAACUUGCUACAACAUUGAACAGUCCAAUGGUUAGUUGCUCAUUUACUUGCUUAUUAUCAAAUUGUUUAUAUAGGGAUGGAAAAAAGUGUCUUGGUAGCCUCUGUUAC